UUAUUUUAAGAGUUUGAUGUUAGCUCGGUUAGAACGCGCUCUAGAGAUUUUAACACAUGCGAAUCGUACGAUUUUUAACAAUCGUGGUGUACAGGUGAGUAUUAAAAAGAAUGGACCUUGAAUUCUGAUUUAAGCUAUAAGCGAAAUACCAGAUAAGAACUUUAAUUCUGUACUAUUAUGGCAGAUAAAAGUUGAUAAAGGAAAUUCAGCAUAAUUUCGUGCCUUCCCAAUUAAGGGAUGUAACCUUUCAAAGGAGGGGAUUUCCGAUUCAAGACUAGCUUUUGUCAAUCAUAGUAGUUGGUGAGGUAAUUGCUUAACAAGCUUUGAUUGUAAUCAUUGCAUUUAUUUGAUGUUCUGAUCACAUUGGCUCUGAGACAACAGCCAAGUUAAACUUUUAGUUUAUCCAGCAGUGGAGAAUAUUAGUCAAUGACCGAAAGGUUGAACUAGUCUUCUAGAAGAGAUAAACUUGACUUUCGAGUUAAGAUUUCUCCAAUUAUUGAGUAAACUUGAUACUUAAUUUAUGGAAUUCUUGCCAAUUUCCGUGCCAGCAGCAGCGGUUAUACGGAUAGAAUUAGCGUUUAACAUAUUCAAAAGGCCUAAAACGUUUGUAGACCGAAAAUUAUUAAAUUUUCUAGAGUAUUAAUUUGGUGUAAGUAGAAUAGUUCAACAAGGGAUCAAAUCCUACAAUCUGAAUUAGACUGCUAAAAGUGCAGACAACUUACAAUAAAAUACUGACGUUGAGAAACGAAGGCUUAGGUCGCGAAAGAGAUUAGAUACCUCUGUAGUCUAAGCUGUAAACGAUUAUUGCUAACAGAAGUUUUUCUUUUUGAAAUUUGACUUUUGUUGUGUGAAGACUUUAAGCAAUAUGCCUGGGAAGUAAAAUCGCAAGAUUGAAACCCAAAACAUUAGACGGUCUUGAAAAUCCGCAGUGAAUCAUGUUAUUUAAUUAGUCAUUCCGCUAAAAAUCUUACCUUUAUUUGUAGCUUUUUUUUAAAAGUCAGGUAUUGCAUGGCUGUCUUUAGUUAAUGUCGUAAGAUGAGGUUAAUUCCCAUUAAUUAACGAAAACCCUUUUGGUAUAUAAAUUACCAGAAUUUAGUGAUAAACUAAAAAUAGGGAUUAAGACAAGUCAAUAUGAUCCAUAUAUAAAGGGCUAUAGACGUGAUAUAAAAUUUAACCCAAUCACUAAAAAGAUGAGAAUCUAAAAAAUGGUGAAAUGGUUAGAAGAUUGUACAGAUUAAAGCCUGUAAUUUGGCUUUAUGAAGGAGGAAUUGCGAGUAAUCACUAAUCAUUACGUAGUGGUGAAUUUUAUCUUCAAGAUGUACUAACUACUCGUCAAGCGUUGAAAGUACUAGUUUCUCGAAGAUUUUGCCUAAUGGUGAAAUCGAAAGGUACUGUGCGAUUAAUGUUAAGUCGAAAUAAGGUAACCGUAGUGGAAAUUGCGGUUGAAUAAUUAUCAUCAGGUUAAACCCCC
This 1471-nucleotide non-coding RNA is filed under the name Schizosaccharomyces cryophilus. RNAcentral's name for it is "SSU rRNA". It matches the Rfam family "Bacterial small subunit ribosomal RNA". The record is from RNAcentral. Lineage: Eukaryota; Fungi; Ascomycota; Schizosaccharomycetes; Schizosaccharomycetales; Schizosaccharomycetaceae.